GGGUUGUGAGGUUAAGCGACUAAGCGUACACGGUGGAUGCCCUGGCAGUCAGAGGCGAUGAAGGACGUGCUAAUCUGCGAUAAGCGUCGGUAAGGUGAUAUGAACCGUUAUAACCGGCGAUUUCCGAAUGGGGAAACCCAGUGUGAUUCGUCACACUAUCAUUAACUGAAUCCAUAGGUUAAUGAGGCGAACCGGGGGAACUGAAACAUCUAAGUACCCCGAGGAAAAGAAAUCAACCGAGAUUCCCCCAGUAGCGGCGAGCGAACGGGGAGCAGCCCAGAGCCUGAAUCAGUGUGUGUGUUAGUGGAAGCGUCUGGAAAGGCGCGCGAUACAGGGUGACAGCCCCGUACACAAAAAUGCACAUGCUGUGAGCUCGAUGAGUAGGGCGGGACACGUGGUAUCCUGUCUGAAUAUGGGGGGACCAUCCUCCAAGGCUAAAUACUCCUGACUGACCGAUAGUGAACCAGUACCGUGAGGGAAAGGCGAAAAGAACCCCGGCGAGGGGAGUGAAAAAGAACCUGAAACCGUGUACGUACAAGCAGUGGGAGCACGCUUAGGCGUGUGACUGCGUACCUUUUGUAUAAUGGGUCAGCGACUUAUAUUCUGUAGCAAGGUUAACCGAAUAGGGGAGCCGAAGGGAAACCGAGUCUUAACUGGGCGUUAAGUUGCAGGGUAUAGACCCGAAACCCGGUGAUCUAGCCAUGGGCAGGUUGAAGGUUGGGUAACACUAACUGGAGGACCGAACCGACUAAUGUUGAAAAAUUAGCGGAUGACUUGUGGCUGGGGGUGAAAGGCCAAUCAAACCGGGAGAUAGCUGGUUCUCCCCGAAAGCUAUUUAGGUAGCGCCUCGUGAAUUCAUCUCCGGGGGUAGAGCACUGUUUCGGCAAGGGGGUCAUCCCGACUUACCAACCCGAUGCAAACUGCGAAUACCGGAGAAUGUUAUCACGG
This 948-nucleotide ribosomal RNA is filed under the name Escherichia coli. Its description in RNAcentral is "partial 23S ribosomal RNA". It matches the Rfam family "Bacterial large subunit ribosomal RNA", at positions 1 to 980 of the family's 2925-position model. Lineage: Bacteria; Pseudomonadati; Pseudomonadota; Gammaproteobacteria; Enterobacterales; Enterobacteriaceae. The record is from RNAcentral.